CCCUUAGAUGUUCUGGGCCGCACGCGCGCUACACUGUUCGACGCAGCGAGUCUUAACCUUGACCGAAAGGUUUGGGUAAUCUUCAGCAAAGUCGAACGUGAUGGGGAUCGAUCAUUGCAAUUAUUGAUCGUGAACGAGGAAUUCCUAGUAAGUGCAAGUCAUCAGCUUGCGCUGAUUACGUCCCUGCCCUUUAUACACACCGCCCGUCGCUACUACCGAUUGAAUGGUUUAGUGAGAUCUCUGGAUUGACGCUGGCUAGGGGGCGACCCUUGGCCAGACUGUUGAGAAACUGCUCAAACUUGAUCAUUUAGAGGAAGUAAAAGUCGUAACA
This 331-nucleotide ribosomal RNA is filed under the name uncultured eukaryote. RNAcentral's name for it is "partial 18S ribosomal RNA". It matches the Rfam family "Eukaryotic small subunit ribosomal RNA", at positions 1470 to 1796 of the family's 1831-position model. The record is from RNAcentral.